AUAUUUCAGCUGAUAAUUCUCCUAAUAUGUAGGCAGAGUAUUGUAUUAUUCCUCCAUGUUUAUUUUUCAAUCUAUUCUUUACUUUUUCAGCAAAUAAGUAUGGUAGACCAGCUAUAAAUUUUUCUUUCCAAUGAUCUAAAUGGCUAUCCUCUCUGGUUAAGAGUCUAGAAAAGAAUACGUCUUUGUACCAUUUAUAAUGGGAUAAUGUUGGGCAUUUUAAAUUUGAAAGUAAAU
This 234-nucleotide long non-coding RNA is filed under the name Amborella trichopoda. RNAcentral describes it as "long non-coding RNA (ATRI_LNC004637)". The record is from RNAcentral. Lineage: Eukaryota; Viridiplantae; Streptophyta; Magnoliopsida; Amborellales; Amborellaceae.